RNAcentral lists this ribosomal RNA (801 nucleotides) under uncultured bacterium. RNAcentral describes it as "bacterial SSU rRNA". It matches the Rfam family "Bacterial small subunit ribosomal RNA", at positions 69 to 861 of the family's 1533-position model. The record is from RNAcentral.
CGGGGGAGUAGCAAUACUCCCGCCGGCGACCGGCGCACGGGUGAGUAACACGUAUGAAACCUGCCCGUAGCAGGGGGAUAAGCGGAAGAAAUUCCGUCUAAUACCGCGUAACAACCCUUGGAGGCAUCUCCUCGGGUUUAAAGGAAGCGAUUCCGGCUACGGAUGGUCAUGCGUCGCAUUAGCUAGUUGGCGGGGUAACGGCCCACCAAGGCGACGAUGCGUAGGGGUUCUGAGAGGAAGGUCCCCCACACUGGUACUGAGACACGGACCAGACUCCUACGGGAGGCAGCAGUGAGGAAUAUUGGUCAAUGGCCGCAGGGCUGAACCAGCCAAGUCGCGUGAGGGAUGACGGUCCUAUGGAUUGUAAACCUCUUUUGUCAGGGAGCAAAGGGCGUCACGUGUGGCGUUUUGCGAGUACCUGAAGAAAAAGCAUCGGCUAACUCCGUGCCAGCAGCCGCGGUAAUACGGAGGAUGCGAGCGUUAUCCGGAUUUAUUGGGUUUAAAGGGUGCGCAGGCGGAAUGUCAAGUCAGCGGUAAAAUUUCGGGGCUCAACCCCGUCGUGCCGUUGAAACUGGCGUUCUUGAGUGAGCGAGAAGUAUGCGGAAUGCGUGGUGUAGCGGUGAAAUGCAUAGAUAUCACGCAGAACUCCGAUUGCGAAGGCAGCAUACCGGCGCUCAACUGACGCUCAUGCACGAAAGCGUGGGUAUCGAACAGGAUUAGAUACCCUGGUAUUCCACGCAGUAAACGAUGAAUACAAACUGUCCGGGCAGAAUGAUGUCUGGGUGGUACAGCGAAAGCGUU